This 433-nucleotide ribosomal RNA is filed under the name uncultured bacterium. RNAcentral describes it as "partial 16S ribosomal RNA". It matches the Rfam family "Bacterial small subunit ribosomal RNA", at positions 29 to 507 of the family's 1533-position model. The record is from RNAcentral.
AACGAACGCUGGCGGCAUGCCUAACACAUGCAAGUCGAACGAAGCCUUCGGGCUUAGUGGCGCACGGGUGCGUAACGCGUGGGAAUCUGCCCCUUGCUUCGGAAUAACAGUUAGAAAUGAUUGCUAAUACCGGAUGAAGUCUUCGGACCAAAGAUUUAUCGGCAAGGGAUGAGCCCGCGUAGGAUUAGGUAGUUGGUGGGGUAAAGGCCUACCAAGCCGACGAUCCUUAGCUGGUCUGAGAGGAUGAUCAGCCACACUGGGACUGAGACACGGCCCAGACUCCUACGGGAGGCAGCAGUGGGGAAUAUUGGACAAUGGACGCAAGUCUGAUCCAGCAAUGCCGCGUGAGUGAUGAAGGCCUUAGGGUUGUAAAGCUCUUUUACCAGGGAUGAUAAUGACAGUACCUGGAGAAUAAGCUCCGGCUAACUCCGUG